GGACUACACGGGUAUCUAAUCCCGUUUGCUCCCCUGGCUUUCGCGCCUCAGCGUCAGUAGAAGUCCAGCGCGCCGCUUUCGCCACCGGUGUUCCUUCCGAUAUCUACGCAUUUCACCGCUCCACCGGAAGUUCCGCACGCCCCUACUUCCCUCGAGACCGGCAGUAUCAAAGGCACUUCCACGGUUGAGCCGUGGGCUUUCACCCCUGACUGGCCAGCCCGCCUACGCGCCCUUUAAGCCCAGUGAUUCCGAACAACGUUCGCACGGUUCGUCUUACCGCGGCGGCUGGCAC
Molecule: ribosomal RNA, 292 nt
Filed under: uncultured bacterium
Lineage: Bacteria
Description: partial 16S ribosomal RNA
Source: RNAcentral